RNAcentral lists this non-coding RNA (187 nucleotides) under Gammaproteobacteria bacterium. RNAcentral's name for it is "6S RNA". It matches the Rfam family "6S / SsrS RNA". Rfam says of the family: E. coli 6S RNA was the first non coding RNA to be sequenced, but its function was unknown until recently. It consists of 184 nucleotides that fold into an extended hairpin structure with a large single-stranded internal bulge. The 6S RNA specifically associates with RNA polymerase holoenzyme containing the sigma70 specificity factor. Lineage: Bacteria; Pseudomonadati; Pseudomonadota; Gammaproteobacteria. The record is from RNAcentral.
CGUCGCCUGUGGUGUUCGACAAGCGGGCUGGGUUACCUCUCGACCCUAAUUUGAAACACCCCGGGACCAGGCCUUGCCGGCAGCAUUGUGCAGGUCUGCCUCGAGCAGAAAGCCUUACCUGCCGCAGGAAGUCCCACUUGUUGCUCUGGUCGAGAGCAACGGUCCGCACCGGCAUUGCGGGUGACGC